UGUUAACAGUCAUGUCUCUGGUUCUUAUACUAGGUAGAGGAGAGAGUCAACACGUUAACAGUCAUGUCUCUGGUUCUUAUACUAGGUAGAGUCAACACGUUAACAGUCAUGUCUCUGGUUCUUAUACUAGGUAGAGGAGAGAGUCAACACGUUAACAGUCAUGUCUCUGGUUCUUAUACUAGGUAGAGGAGAGAGUCAACAUGUUAACAGUCAUGUCUCUGGUUCUUAUACUAGGUAGAGUCAACAUGUUAACAGUCAUGUCUCUGGUUCUUAUACUAGGUAGAGUCAACAUGUUAACAGUCAUGUCUCUGGUUCUUAUACUAGGUAGAGGAGAGAGUCAACAUGUUAACAGUCAUGUCUCUGGUUCUUAUACUAGGUAGAGGAGAGAGUCAACAUGUUAACAGUCAUGUCUCUGGUUCUUAUACUAGGUAGAGUCAACAUGUUAACAGUCAUGUCUCUGGUUCUUAUACUAGGUAGAGUCAACAUGUUAACAGUCAUGUCUCUGGUUCUUAUACUAGGUAGAGGAGAGAGUCAACAUGUUAACAGUCAUGUCUCUGGUUCUUAUACUAGGUAGAGGAGAGAGUCAACAUGUUAACAGUCAUGUCUCUGGUUCUUAUACUAGGUAGAGGAGAGAGUCAACAUGUUAACAGUCAUGUCUCUGGUUCUUAUACUAGGUAGAGGAGAGAGUCAACAUGUUAACAGUCAUGUCUCUGGUUCUUAUACUAGGUAGAGUCAACAUGUUAACAGUCAUGUCUCUGGGUCUUAUACUAGGUAGAGGAGAGAGUCAACAUGUUAACAGUCAUGUCUCUGGUUCUUAUACUAGGUAGAGGAGAGAGUCAACACGUUAACAGUCAUGUCUCUGGUUCUUAUACUAGGUAGAGGAGAGAGUCAACACGUUAACAGUCAUGUCUCUGGUUCUUAUACUAGGUAGAGGAGAGAGUCAACACGUUAACAGUCAUGUCUCUGGUUCUUAUACUAGGUAGAGGAGAGAGUCAACAUGUUAACAGUCAUGUCUCUGGUUCUUAUACUAGGUAGAGGAGAGAGUCAACAUGUUAACAGUCAUGUCUCUGGUUCUUAUACUAGGUAGAGGAGAGAGUCAACAUGUUAACAGUCAUGUCUCUGGUUCUUAUACUAGGUAGAGGAGAGAGUCAACACGUUAACAGUCAUGUCUCUGGUUCUUAUACUAGGUAGAGGAGAGAGUCAACAUGUUAACAGUCAUGUCUCUGGUUCUUAUACUAGGUAGAGUCAACAUGUUAACAGUCAUGUCUCUGGUUCUUAUACUAGGCAAGUCAGUUAAGAACAAAUUCUUAUUUACAAUGACCCCCCCCCCGUGCCAAACCCAG
Oncorhynchus keta (chum salmon) is the source of this 1343-nucleotide long non-coding RNA. RefSeq lists it as uncharacterized. The record is from RefSeq and is a predicted model, not a curated record. The transcript has 7 exons. Lineage: Eukaryota; Metazoa; Chordata; Actinopteri; Salmoniformes; Salmonidae.